CUUAUCAAGAGAGAUUGAGGGAUUUGGCCCGAUGACGUCUCAGCAACCAGCUAUUUGCUAGUAUGGUGCUAAAUCCAAUAGGCGAAUGCCUUAAAGAUGAGU
Molecule: non-coding RNA, 102 nt
Filed under: uncultured Metasolibacillus sp.
Lineage: Bacteria; Bacillati; Bacillota; Bacilli; Caryophanales; Caryophanaceae
Description: SAM riboswitch (S box leader)
Rfam family: SAM riboswitch aptamer (S box leader)
About the family: The SAM riboswitch is found upstream of a number of genes which code for proteins involved in methionine or cysteine biosynthesis in Gram-positive bacteria.
Source: RNAcentral